This 541-nucleotide ribosomal RNA is filed under the name uncultured bacterium. RNAcentral's name for it is "bacterial SSU rRNA". It matches the Rfam family "Bacterial small subunit ribosomal RNA", at positions 8 to 524 of the family's 1533-position model. The record is from RNAcentral.
AGAGUUUGAUCCUGGCUCAGAACGAACGUUGGCGGCGUGCUUAACACAUGCAAGUCGAACGAGAACGGUUUCUUCGGAGACCUAGUAAAGUGGCGCACGGGUGAGUAACGCGUAGAUAACCUGUCCAGGUGUUCGGGAUAGCCCUUCGAAAGGGGGAUUAAUACCGGAUACGUUAGUUUGUCAUAAGACAGAUUAAGAAAGGUGGCCUCUAUUUAUAAGCUAUCGCAUUUGGAGGGGUCUGCGUACCAUUAGUUUGUUGGUGGGGUAAUGGCCUACCAAGACUUCGAUGGUUAGCGGGUCUGAGAGGAUGAUCCGUCACACUGGCACUGAAACACGGGCCAGACUCCUACGGGAGGCAGCAGUGAGGAAUAUUGCGCAAUGGGGGAAACCCUGACGCAGCGACGCCGCGUGGGUGAGGAAGGCUUUCCGGUCGUAAAGCCCUGUCAGAAGGGAAGAAAUGUGUAGUGGCUAAUAUCCAUUGGACUUGACGGUACCUUCAAAGGAAGCACCCGGUUAACUCCUGGCCAGCAGCCGCGGUAAU